RNAcentral lists this unclassified non-coding RNA (150 nucleotides) under uncultured fungus. RNAcentral's name for it is "sequence contains ITS1, 5.8S rRNA gene". The record is from RNAcentral. Lineage: Eukaryota; Fungi.
CCGAGUGAGGGCCUCCGGGCUCGAUCUCCCACCCUUUGACAAACGUCCGGUUUGCCUCGGGGGUGACCCGGACCUUACGACGUCCGGGUGACCCCCGGAGGGAUACCCACUCUGCAUUUUGGCGUCGGAGUCAUACAGCAAAUUGAAUAA